RNAcentral lists this transfer RNA (75 nucleotides) under Chromobacterium haemolyticum. RNAcentral describes it as "tRNA-Thr". It matches the Rfam family "tRNA". Rfam says of the family: Transfer RNA (tRNA) molecules are approximately 80 nucleotides in length. Their secondary structure includes four short double-helical elements and three loops (D, anti-codon, and T loops). Further hydrogen bonds mediate the characteristic L-shaped molecular structure. tRNAs have two regions of fundamental functional importance: the anti-codon, which is responsible for specific mRNA codon recognition, and the 3' end, to which the tRNAs corresponding amino acid is attached (by aminoacyl-tRNA synthetases). tRNAs cope with the degeneracy of the genetic code in two manners: having more than one tRNA (with a specific anti-codon) for a particular amino acid; and 'wobble' base-pairing, i.e. permitting non-standard base-pairing at the 3rd anti-codon position. Lineage: Bacteria; Pseudomonadati; Pseudomonadota; Betaproteobacteria; Neisseriales; Chromobacteriaceae. The record is from RNAcentral.
GCCCAUGUAGCUCAGGGGUAGAGCACUCCCUUGGUAAGGGAGAGGUCGGCAGUUCGAUUCUGCCCAUGGGCACCA